CUAAAAAGUUCUAAAAGU
This 18-nucleotide transfer RNA is filed under the name Philautus acutirostris (Philippine bubble-nest frog). RNAcentral describes it as "partial tRNA-Phe". Lineage: Eukaryota; Metazoa; Chordata; Amphibia; Anura; Rhacophoridae. The record is from RNAcentral.